RNAcentral lists this ribosomal RNA (491 nucleotides) under uncultured bacterium. RNAcentral describes it as "partial 16S ribosomal RNA". It matches the Rfam family "Bacterial small subunit ribosomal RNA", at positions 29 to 523 of the family's 1533-position model. The record is from RNAcentral.
AUUGAACGCUGGCGGCAUGCCUAACACAUGCAAGUCGAACGGGGGGUAGCGAUACCCUAGUGGCGGACGGGUGAGGAAUGCGUAGGAAUCUACCCACGAGAGGGGGACAACCUGGGGAAACUCAGGCUAAUACCGCAUACGCUCGUAAGAGGAAAGCGGGGGAUCUUCGGACCUCGCGCUGGUGGAAGAGCCUACGUCCGAUUAGCUGGUUGGUGAGGUAAAGGCUCACCAAGGCGACGAUCGGUAGCGGGUCUGCGAGGACGGCCCGUCACACUGGGACUGAGACACGGCCCAGACUCCUACGGGAGGCAGCAGUGGGGAAUAUUGGACAAUGGGCGCAAGCCUGAUCCAGCAAUGCCGCGUGGGUGAAGACGGCCUGCGGGUUGUAAAGCCCUUUAGGCGGGGAGGAACGACGGGACGCGAAUACCGUUUCGAAGUGACGUUACCCGCAGAAUAAGCACCGGCUAACUCCGUGCCAGCCGCCGCAGUAA